Molecule: long non-coding RNA, 710 nt
Filed under: Danio rerio (zebrafish)
Lineage: Eukaryota; Metazoa; Chordata; Actinopteri; Cypriniformes; Danionidae
Description: lncRNA (ENSDARG00000117368.1)
Source: RNAcentral
CUGAAAGUUAGGAUUAUUCUGCAGGUCUUAACCAAAUAAAGUCUCAUAUCUUUAAUUUAUAUCAGGUAUGUUUUACCUGGCGAAUAAGAAGUUAUGGCCAAUAUGAUUGGAUUGCUUAGGCUCAUUGUAGGAGGAAAAGAAAACAAACUACAGGAUGAUUUUCAUUGAGGUUAUCUCAAACUGCCAUCGUACAUCCUCUGGGUGUCUUGAGGAGCUGGUCUUUGGAUAAUGCUGAGCAGGUCUUUCUUUCUGGUAAAGAUUGUUAUUACAGGUCAGAGUAUGGUUAAUUUUGGCACAAUGCUCAAAGAGCCUUUUUGUUACUGGUAUAUAUGUUAACUCAACAGUGAUUGUUCUCUAUUUCAGUGAAGUAAAAGAAUUUAACAGACAGAUUUACAAACAACUGACGAAAGAAGGGAGACCAUUCAAUAGUCCCUUUAUUUAUCAGGGGUUGCCACAGCAGAAGGAACUGCCAACUUAUCCAGCAUAUGUUUUACACAGCGGAUGCCCUUCCAGCUGCAACCCAGUACUGGGAAACACCCAUUUACACUCAUACACUUGAACAUGGGGAGAACAUGCAAACUCCACACAGAAAUGACCACUGGCCCAGCCGGGGCUUGAACCAGCAACCUUCUUGCUGUGAAGCGACGGUGCUAACCACUGUGCUGCCCUAUGUGCUCUAUGCGGAGGCCUCUAGAGAUCGUAACCUGUGA